AUGGUACUCCACUAUGUGGCUGUGGUUUUUUUGUUUGUUUGUUUGUUUGUUUGUUUUUAAGACUUUUUGGUUUGUUUUUUUUUUUUUUUCCGGAUCUGGGGACCGAACCCAGGGCCUUGCAGUUGCUAGGCAAGCGCUCUACCACUGAGCUAAAUCCCCAACCCCAAGACUUUUUGUUUAAAACAAGGUCUUGUGUGGCCUGGGCUAGCCUGGAGUUUGCUGUAUAGUGUUGGAUGAACUUAAACUCCUGAUUCUCCUACCCCAACCUCUCAGUGCUGGGACCACAGGCAUGGGACAUUAUGCCCUGCUGGAAAUGCCACGUUUUGUCUGUCUAUCCAUCUGCUGGUAGACAUCUGGGCCGUGUUGUAGUUUGAGGCAGAUAUGAAUGGAGCUGUUGGUAGCAUUCCUGUGCAGGUCUCUGUGUUGAUACAGCCUUACGUUAUUUUAUAUACGUGCCCAGCGACUAAGGCUGAGAACUGUCGCCUGUGUCCUCGAGUCCUUCAUGGAUUCUCUUUCGGAAGCAGCUCUCAGUCAUCACUCAUUUUUAUCAGGAGGCUUAGUGUCUCACUGUUGGCCAUAAAAAUCUUAUAUUUUCCCAUAAAUCUGUGCAAGGAUUGAAUCUUUACUGCUGGAUAUUCUACACCCAAGUAGGGUCUUCCCAUUCUGAGUUUCCCAUUUUAUUUUCCUAAUUACAUCUUUUGAAUAGCAGGCAGUUUUAAUUUUGUUUUUUAAAAAAAUCUAAUUUUUUUCUUUUUCUUUUUUAACAACUGAAUCCACAGCUUUAGUGUGGGUUAGGCAAGCCCAGCACUGAACCAGAGCCCCGGACCCAAGUUCAACAGUUUUGAGUUUCUCAGCUCAUUCUCCUCCUUCCCUCACUCCUUCCUUGCCCCGCGCUCGCUCUCGCUCUCUCUCUCUCUCUCUCUCUCUCUCUCUCUCUCUCUCUCUCUCCUCUCCUCUCCUCUCCUCUCCUCUCCUCUCCUCUCCUCUCUCCCCCGCCUUCUGUUUUGUUUUCUCUAUAUGGCUCUGACUGACCUGAAACUCCAUCUAUAAACCAGGAUGGUCUUGAACUCACAAAGUUCCGCCUGCCUCUGCCUCCUGAGUGCCAGGAUGCUUCAGCUCAUGCACCUUACAGCCUACCUUAUAGUCUUUGUAAUGCACCUUUUGCAGGCUUGUUUUGUUUUUGUAACUCUAUCCCAUGUUGGCUGUAAACUCGUGGAAAUCCUCCUGCCUGAGUUUCCCAAGGGCUGAAAUCACUGCUGUGAGCCAUCAUACCUGACGGUGUUCUUUUAACUUAUAAAAGUAAAACUCUAUAAUUAUAACUCUUUUAUUAAUUAAAACAGAGUUUUCUUUUUACAUUCUAUCCAUUUCUUAUGUCUGGAACUUCUUGCUUUAAAUUGCUAUGUAUCAUCUAUGACAUCAUCCUGCCUCUUGCCCACUCACCCCUGCCCUACAUCUAUGACAUCAUCCUGCUUCUUGUCCACUCACCCCUGCCCUCAGUGUAGACGUUCACUCCCUCUAGCUGCUUGGUCCAAAACAACGUGUGUCUCUGAUGAGCUGUGUGGAAUAUAAGGGGAAAGCAAUCUCAUGCAGCCCAGGCUGGCCUUACACUGGCUCUGUGGCCAAGGAUGACCCUUCUUCCUGUACCUUCCGAGCACUGAGACUGCAGCACACCGCCAUGUCUGGCACCGCCUAGGAUGUCUGCAUUAAGGUUUGUCUCUUCCUCUCUCUUAGAUGCUUAAGGCACUGAGAUGCCUCCUCUUGACUGUCAGCUUAAUUACAACCAGAAUUUUCAAGGAGAUUAAUAAAGGACGUCCUCGGUGUGCCUCUGAGGGUAUUUCCAAGGAGAACUAAGUUGGGAAGAUGGGGGUGUGGCAGCAUCUCCCAUGCUGAGGGCCUGGAAAGAACAGAAGUGGCAAGGGAGACAGCAGUGGACGCCUUUCCCACUCCAGAUUGCCGUGUUGUCAGUUGUCCCGCUCAGUCACAGCUGCCCAGCCACAGUGGACAGAGGCUCAGAAGCAAGAGCCAAGUCACUAAUUCCUCUCUUUGCUGCUCUAGGGCACUUGUCACAGUGAAGGAGACUAUAAUUAGCACUGUCACAAAGGUAUUCUUUCACUUUCUCCUAAUUGACCACACUCCUUGGGAUCUUUUCUUCUGAAAAUUUUCUUUUUUUGAAUGUGUUCGUAAUGCCUGUGUGCACCCGUGCAGGUGUUCUGGCAGGAUAAGUGAGUGGGACUGGACACCCCCACGGGGAGGGAGGGGAAAGGAGGGGGGAGAGGGAGAGGGGGAACGCUUGAGUCACAGAUUCACAUGAUGUGGGUUCUGGGAAUGGAACUGUGGUUCUCCCAAGAGGCAGUGCAGUCAUGCUGCUAACCACAGAGCCCUCCCCAGCCCUGACCCUGGAAGCCUGAGGCGUCUCUAAGGUCUUCGUUUAUGUGUGGAUUUCAUGGAAACAACACUCCUCAACCUCUUUAGUGAAGCGUGUGUCCUUCCUGCUCUUGGUGUUGCCAUCACACUCAUUAAAUUCCUGUAUACACGGUUUCUGCCUCUGCUCUCUAGCUUUCAAAUUAUUCCCUUCUUAAAAAAAUUCCCGGGGCUGGGGAUUUAGCUCAGUGGUAGAGCGCUUACCUAGGAAGCGCAAGGCCCUGGGUUCGGUCCCCAGCUCCGAAAAAAAGAACCAAAAAAAAAAAAAAAAAAAUUCCCCGUGUUAGCAUCAACACUACCAUUUUCACUGUGUGACAUUAAAAAUGUCUUCAUACGUGAGAGGGUGAGAGCCCCUCCUCGCUACGGAAAGUAAUCAAUCUGGAUUUGUGCAGCUUCAAAGAUGCACCAAGCCCAGGAGGGGAGAGGACAACGGCAAAGGUCAGAUGUCCAGACAAGAGGGCAACAGCCUGAGUUCUGAACCCGUGAAGGGUAUGGAUGGCAAGGGCAGUCAACAGCACACACACACACACACACACACACACACACACACACACACACACACACACACAGGACAGAGAGCCGGGUUAUUCUGGGGCUGGGUGUGGCUCGGCUUGGGGAAGCUUGCCUUGCACGCAUGGAACCCUGGGUUUGAUCCCCAGCACCACAUGAAGAUGAGGGGUGGUGACACACACCUGUAAUCCCAGCACACAGGAGGUGGAGGCAGAAGAAUCAGCAGUUCAAAGUCAUCCUCGGCUGCGUAGGGAGUUUUAGGUCAGUUUGGGCCACAUGAGACCUUGUCUCAAAGAAAAUAAAAACUGUGAUUCUAGAACGGCUCACUGGUGGCUUUUUCUAACAGUCCACAAACUGACCCAAAAAUGCAAAUUCAUCCUUCGUGACAGAGGUAACGCCACAUAUUUUCACUUCAUUCAUAAUUAGACCGAACCUACUUAUCAGAAGUCUACAGAAGAAAUUACUGAAUGAUAAGAAUCUGAUUUAAGCAAAACCAGAAGAGCAUUUGCCUGGGGUUCACUGCAGACUCAAGUCUCUGUUGAGCAGUGGGUGGAUUGUGCAGUGGUGACCCGCUGUGGUGAGCCACUGGGCUCUGACGGUUCCCCUCUGCUCACACACCCCAUUCUGAGCCGCGCUCUGAAAUCAGGAAGUUUCCAGUACUGCCUUUGAACGGGCUUGGUAGGGAAUCACUGCUACUCUUGCUUAAGUUUCCGAUCUGAGUUAGCUCAGCCGUGAGGUCAGCCGGCUGUGCCUGUGCAGUGAGGAACUCUACCUACAGUUAGGACCAAUGCACACUGAUGGCAGUAUGAUGUCUGGGGUAAUUUUACAGUAAGACUCCUGGGUAUAGGGGAGGGGGUACGGUUCAAACAUAAAUACUCUCUUGGAUGAAUGUACGCAUAAUCUCCCCCAGUUUACUUGCAUGGAGACCUCCACCCCACCUUUCAUUUUGUUUCCUCUGAGGUAAACUCAGAAUUCCCCAAGAGGACUCUCUGUCCUGAGCUAGCUGUGGACAGAAAUGCUACCUAUGGGCAAGCAGAAGGAAAGAGAGCUCUGGACAAAAGGACCCUGUCUCACAUAGGUGGAGGAUCAGACCCCUAGACACCAAGUGCCAAGACCAGAAUGCAGACCUGUCUCCACUUAGGACCGACUCAUUUAAAACUAAGCUUUCCCAUGGGAGAGGUGACACGUGCCUUUAAUCAUGGCAGAGGCAGAGGCAGAGGCAGAGGCAGAGGCAGAGGCAGAGGCAGAGGCAGAGGCAGAGGCAGAGGCAGAGGCAGAGGGGCAGAGGCAGAGGGGCAGAGGCAGAGAGGCAGAGGCAGAGGGGCAGAGGCAGAGGGGCAGAGGCAGAGAGGCAGAGGCAGAGGGGCAGAGGCAGAGAGGCAGAGGCAGACGGGCAGAGGCAGAGGCAGAGGCAGAGGCAGAGGGGCAGAGGCAGAGGCAGAGGGGCAGAGGCAGAGGCAGAGAGGCAGAGGCAGGGAGGCAGAGAGGCAGAGAGGCAGAGGCAGGGAGGCAGAGAGGCAGAGGCAGAGGCAGAGGCAGAGGCAGAGGCAGAGGCAGAGGCAGAGGCAGAGGCAGAGGCAGAGGCAGAGGCAGAGGCAGAGGCAGAGGCAGGGAGGCAGAGAGACAGAGGCAGAGGCAGAGGCAGGGAGGCAGAGAGACAGAGGCAGAGGCAGAGGCAGAGGCAGAGAGGCAGAGAGGCAGAGAGGCAGAGGCAGAGGCAGAGGCAGAGAGGCAGAGAGGCAGAGGCAGAGGCAGAGGCAGAGGCAGAGGCCGGCAGAUCUCUGUGAGUUUGAGGACAGUCUGGUCUAUAUAGCCAGUCCCAGGCUAGCCAGUGCUGCACUAUAAGAUCCUGUCUUUUUUUUUUUUUUUCCUUUUUUCUUUUUUUCAGAGCUGGGGACCGAACCCAGGGCCUUGCGCUUGCUAGGCAAGCGCUCUACCACUGAGCUAAAUCCCCAACCCAAGAUCCUGUCUUAAAACAAACAAAAG
Non-coding RNA from Rattus norvegicus (Norway rat), 4917 nucleotides. The record is from RefSeq and is a predicted model, not a curated record. Lineage: Eukaryota; Metazoa; Chordata; Mammalia; Rodentia; Muridae.